GCGUGCUUAACACAUGCAAGUCGAGCGGUAAGGCCCUUUCGGGGGUACACGAGCGGCGAACGGGUGAGUAACACGUGAGCAAUCUGCCCCUGUCUCUGGGAUAACCACUGGAAACGGUGGCUAAUACCGGAUAUGACCUCCUUCUGCAUGGUUGGUGGUGGAAAAGUCCGCUGGACAGGGAUGAGCUCGCGGCCUAUCAGCUUGUUGGUGGGGUAAUGGCCUACCAAGGCGACGACGGGUAGCCGGCCUGAGAGGGUGACCGGCCACACUGGGACUGAGACACGGCCCAGACUCCUACGGGAGGCAGCAGUGGGGAAUAUUGGACAAUGGGCGAAAGCCUGAUCCAGCAACGCCGCGUGAGGGAUGACGGCCUUCGGGUUGUAAACCUCUUUCAGCAGGGACGAAGCGAAAGUGACGGUACCUGCAGAAGAAGGACCGGCCAACUACGUGCCAGCAGCCGCGGUAAUACGUAGGGUCCGAGCGUUGUCCGGAAUUAUUGGGCGUAAAGGGCUCGUAGGCGGUUUGUCACGUCGGGAGUGAAAACUCAGGGCUUAACCCUGAGCGUGCUUCCGAUACGGGCUGACUAGAGGGAUGCAGGGGAGAACGGAAUUCCUGGUGUAGCGGUGGAAUGCGCAGAUAUCAGGAGGAACACCGGUGGCGAAGGCGGUUCUCUGGGCAUUUCCUGACGCUGAGGAGCGAAAGCAUGGGGAGCGAACAGGAUUAGAUACCCUGGUAGUCCAUGCCGUAAACGUUGGGCGCUAGGUGUGGGGACCUUCCACGGUUUCCGUGCCGCAGCUAACGCAUUAAGCGCCCCGCCUGGGGAGUACGGCCGCAAGGCUAAAACUCAAAGGAAUUGACGGGGGCCCGCACAAGCGGCGGAGCAUGCUGAUUAAUUCGAUGCAACGCGAAGAACCUUACCUGGGUUUGACAUAUGCCGGAAAGCGCCAGAGAUGG
This 954-nucleotide ribosomal RNA is filed under the name Aeromicrobium massiliense. RNAcentral describes it as "bacterial SSU rRNA". It matches the Rfam family "Bacterial small subunit ribosomal RNA", at positions 42 to 1009 of the family's 1533-position model. Lineage: Bacteria; Bacillati; Actinomycetota; Actinomycetes; Propionibacteriales; Nocardioidaceae. The record is from RNAcentral.